This 120-nucleotide ribosomal RNA is filed under the name Microbacterium esteraromaticum. RNAcentral also lists the same sequence under 1 other name. Lineage: Bacteria; Bacillati; Actinomycetota; Actinomycetes; Micrococcales; Microbacteriaceae. The record is from RNAcentral.
GUUUCGGCGGCCAUAGCGUGAGGGAAACGCCCGGUCACAUUCCGAACCCGGAAGCUAAGCCUCACAGCGCCGAUGGUACUGCAGGGGGGACCCUGUGGGAGAGUAGGACACCGCCGAACU